This 253-nucleotide ribosomal RNA is filed under the name uncultured bacterium. Its description in RNAcentral is "partial 16S ribosomal RNA". It matches the Rfam family "Bacterial small subunit ribosomal RNA", at positions 524 to 776 of the family's 1533-position model. The record is from RNAcentral.
UACGUAGGAAGCGAGCGUUGUCCGGAAUCAUUGGGCGUAAAGCGCGUGUAGGCGGCUCGGAAAGUCUGGUGUGAAAUCUUUCGGCUCAACCGGAAGCGUGCACUGGAUACUAUCGGGCUUGAAUCUGGAAGAGGAGAGUGGAAUUCCUGGUGUAGCGGUGAAAUGCGCAGAUAUCAGGAGGAACACCGGUGGCGAAGGCGCUGCUCUGGGCCGGUACUGACGCUGAGGAGCGAAAGCGUGGGUAGCAAACAGG